GAUUUGGCACAGCAGAGAAGGGGUUCAUCGUGCCACUGACAGAUGCUAGGGCAUCGUCUCUGGCCUCGGUGGCGUCUUCCGUUGGCCCUGCUGCCAUGCGGCAGUGGUGCUGUUUGGAAUCGGCUACAAAACAGCCAAGGGGCUUGCCAACCACAAGGGUCAACUUGGAGCUCCUCUCUACCCCUGCAGGUGAUUAAUCUUGCUGUGGCAGACACCGGGGGAGCACUAGCGGAUGUGUUCCCUCUCAAAGCAGUACACCCGCUGCUCCAGCACCUUCUUUUGCUAUGUCAAGUAGUCCACAUCAAGGACCUUGCUGUCAACUUCCAUGGGAUUGGGCCUUGCUUAGACGCCAUGUAUUCCAUUCGAUUCGCUUGGCGUGAUGGACAGCAGCAGCAUGGACUCGGUACAGCAGAGGACAAGGGCUACAUUUCAUCGUGCCAGUGCCAGGCAUGGUGCGCGGCUGUCGUGCGACGGAGGUGGUGCCAUUCAGCAUCGGCUACAAAAUCGCCAUGGAUUGGGUACAGCAGAGGAGAAGGGGUUCAUCGUGCCACCGACAGAUGCUAGGGCUUCAUCGCCGGCCUCGGUGGCGUCUUCUGUUGGCCCUGCUGACGUGCUGCAGCGGAGCUGUUUGGCAUUAGCUAAAACAACCAAGUACUAGCGGACGGGUUCCCUCUCAGAGCAGUACACCUGCUGCUUCAGCACCUUCUGCUCCGUCAGGUUGUUGUUGCUCUCAGUGGGACACCCAACACCACUAGCGAGCGACUCCCUUGCUAGCGGCGCUGUUGCUGGGCACAACUUUGGCCGGUCAAGAAGCUCUACAUGCUCCAACGGGCCGCUCACUCGGACGGCGCUGCUGGUUCCUCUAUCUCUAUCACUCUUUCAUGUUAUGUGUCCAUGGCAAUCGAGACAUGGUAAAUUUGUGCUAGCCAUUGUGUCAUGGUGAUUUCUAGGGAUUAUUGUGGUGCACCUGCAAUGACUAAAUAGCAGCCCAAAUUCUAAUUUUCUUGCUGCUGCUUUGUGGCGCACUAGUCGUAGCAGCAGCACUUGAAGUGCAAGUCUUGUGGUAGCUAGCACAACACAGCCAGUGGUGGUGUUCUAGUAGGAGUUGCAGUUUUGCAAAUGUCUUUUCACGUCCUAUGAAUUAUAUGCUUGAGAAAUAUAAAGCAUGUGCUGGCUGUUAUGUUUGUAGAGAAGAGGUACUUGAAUCGCUGAAAUUGGAGUCAUGGUCUGUUGUCUGGAGCCAAAAUAUAUACUACACUGUUGCUGCAAUUUUCUAUGAAAAGAUGGUUUCUGGUGGACAAGUUCUUGCGUCCUAAAAUUUGGGAUGCCCAUCAACAAGUGGGCCUGUUGCCCUCCGAGACGCAUAAAGGGAUUAUUCCUUCUUCCACGGAAUCGAGUGAUUGUUCUGUGCUGUUUGGGAGCUAGGCCAAGGAGAACCUGCUCUGAUUCGAUCUGCUCAACAUUACCCCCAUCUCUUCAUUUCCAAGGCGCUCGACUUCAUGGAGGAGGACGACGACCGGGACCCCAAGCCCAAGCCGAUUACCUUUACCUAGACUCCGCAUACAAGGCAAAUGAUGUGCCAACUUCCAACGAUUGAUGUUAGCUAGUGAAAGACUCACUUUUCUGCUAAUGGCUACUUGCGUCGUUUUGCUGGACUCACUUGGCUUGCAGGCGCCCGGCUCCAUGGACGAGGAUGAUUGGGAACCCAUGUCCAAGCCGACAUCCUGACAUCGACUAUCCACACACAAGAGCAGCAGACGCCUUCCACUUCCAUGGAUGACAUCGACGACGUAGACGUGCGCCCAAACUGAGGAAAUGUCGAGUCCGACCUCAACCUCUACUAUGAGGUUGCCCAAAACGGCUCGCCAUAGAAGCUGGCUUGCUCGUGGUGGAUCCUGGAGUGCCUUUGUCGGUUCAUCGCCAUCAUGGGAGACAUCAGGUCUGCUCUCCUCGGAUGUUGUCUCUGCCUCGGUAUGAGAGCGCUGGCGAGGAGCUCACGGUGCUUCCCAGGCACAGCAAGGUUGUUGUUAACGGAUCUAAAGAAUGGUGUGGAGGUGAAGCUGCAGAGGAUUGCCCUGAGUGUCUUGAAAGCUCCACCUGGUAACAAGGACGACGACGUGAUCGAUGGUCAUUCUGCGGUAGCUUCAACAUGGGAGAGAAAGACAUAAAUUAGUCGAGCAUUGAGUACGAGAAGCCAACAAAGCCAAGGUUACGGUACACAAGACCAUGGUCAUCCUACAGGACGAUGUCCUGCAGCCAGGCCAAUUUUGACUCAACUUGGAAGCUGCGAGCGGUAAUCACUGUUGCCAUCCCGGCAACUAAUCAUGACACGGCAAGUAAUUACGUCUGUAAGAUGAAUGAGAUUGGGCGAGUGCAGUCAAGUCAUUCUCAUUGUCAUUGUGUUUGUUAGAGAGUGAACCUGACACCCACACUAUGGAGAUACUGGAAGCACUUGAACCUUGUGCCACUCCAUCGGAGGGGCUCUUCCAUGGGGCCCAGCCGCAUUUCCUUGAGAAAUAUCCAUGUGGGAGGGAGGGAGCAUCCAGCAGACCUUAUUGUUGUACUCUGCAACUUGCACUAGAGAAGAGAAGAAAAGAGAAGAGAAGGCUGGCAGACUUGAUUUGACGAGCCGUCGCUGUAUCUUGCUGUUUUGCUGUAUCUUUUUGGCCCAGGAGCAAGGGACAUGAUCCUUGUAUCUGUCUGCGCACCACAAAUCUUGUUGGCUGCACAAGCAAAGCUCUUCCUAAGUAGAUCCAAACUCUAUGGACUUUAGUCUUGUAAGUGAAGUGGAUAGCGUGGAUAGAUUGUUGUCAAGUGAUUAACUAUGGCUUAAUUGUACAUCUGAUGAUGAAUGGCGGGGUUGUUAUAAUGAAUGGCAUGUCGCUUUUUAA
Molecule: non-coding RNA, 2891 nt
Organism: Triticum urartu
Lineage: Eukaryota; Viridiplantae; Streptophyta; Magnoliopsida; Poales; Poaceae
Source: RefSeq, a predicted model, not a curated record